This 561-nucleotide ribosomal RNA is filed under the name uncultured bacterium. RNAcentral's name for it is "bacterial SSU rRNA". It matches the Rfam family "Bacterial small subunit ribosomal RNA", at positions 102 to 694 of the family's 1533-position model. The record is from RNAcentral.
ACGGCUGAGGAUCACGUGGGAACAUGCCUCCUUGUGGGGGACAACAGCGCGAAAGCGGUGCUAAUCCCGCAUACGCUCGGCAACGAGGAAAGCGGUAACGCGCAGGGAGAGUGGCCCGCGGCCCAUCAGGUCGUAGGUGGGGUAACGGCCUACCUAGCCGAUGACGGGUAGCUGGUCUGUGAGGACAGACAGCCAGACUGGGACUGAGACACGGCCCAGACUCCUACGGGAGGCAGCAGCAAGGAAUUUUCGUCGAUGGGCGCAAGCCUGAACGAGCAACGCCGCGUGGAGGAUGACGGCCUUCGGGUUGUAAACUCCUUUUUCGGGGGACGAUGAUGACGGUACCCCGGGAAUAAGGCUCGGCUAACUCUGUGCCAGCAGCCGCGGUAAUACAGAGGAGCCAAGCGUUGUCCGGAUUGACUGGGCGUAAAGCGCACGCAGGCGGACGCGCGCGUGGGGUGUGAAAUCUGGCCGCUUAACGGCCAGGCGCCAUCCCAUACGGCGCGACUGGAGUGAUGCAGAGGUCGAUGGAAUUGCCGGUGUAGUGGUGAAAUGCGUAGA